GUGGGGAAUAUUGCGCAAUGGGCGAAAGCCUGACGCAGCAACGCCGCGUGCGGGAUGACGGCCUUCGGGUUGUAAACCGCUUUCAGCAGGGAAGAAGCCGCAAGGUGACGGUACCUGCAGAAGAAGCACCGGCUAACUACGUGCCAGCAGCCGCGGUAAUACGUAGGGUGCAAGCGUUGUCCGGAUUUAUUGGGCGUAAAGAGCUCGUAGGCGGUCUGUUACGUCGGUUGUGAAAACUCGGGGCUUAACCCCGAGCCUGCAUCCGAUACGGGCAGACUUGAGUGUGGUAGGGGAGACUGGAAUUCCUGGUGUAGCGGUGAAAUGCGCAGAUAUCAGGAGGAACACCGAUGGCGAAGGCAGGUCUCUGGGCCACAACUGACGCUGAGGAGCGAAAGCGUGGGGAGCAAACAGGAUUAGAAACCCGGGUAGUCC
Molecule: ribosomal RNA, 432 nt
Filed under: uncultured bacterium
Lineage: Bacteria
Description: bacterial SSU rRNA
Rfam family: Bacterial small subunit ribosomal RNA
Source: RNAcentral